GAAGGAGUACUAUUAUAUAUUUGUAUAUUACUGGUAUAUGAUACUCUGUUUCAGCGCCUUAGUGCCUGUUGGCUGCCCAGUGGCUUACCUGAAAUAAUUUGGUGGCCUCUGUCCUUGAUAGGUCACACAUAACUGCCACCCCAGCUGGUGCUUAAUGGUCCCCCUGAAAUCGCAGCAGAGAGGCCAAGUUUUGCAUGGAUCAUGGUGACCAUUACCCACUCCUUGCAAUAGAUAAUGUGGGGAAAGUUUGUACUGCCACUGCCCAAAGUGUACCUGUUCCUGAAAAUGGAUGGUUGGGUAGAUAAUAUUGCAAAACAGAAGCUGGCGAUGUUCAUUUGGCCAGUACACUAUUUCUGUAGGAUUGAGUGACACAGAGUUCUGUGCUUGCCAAAUCUGAGGGCCAAAGGCUUUCAACCAGAAAUGUUCCACCUCCCUCCUGCUCUUUUUAUGUCUUAUUUCUGGUAUGAAAUAGAAAAUUUUAAAAUAGAGGCAUAGGGGGACCGCCCAGUGUCCCCAGCAGUAAUUCUGAGUGUAGCAGAGACAUCACUCCCAGCUCAAAACUUCUUGUAACAGAGGCUGGAAGCAGAAGGCUGGCUACCAAACGUAGAAAGGAAUAGCUUUCCUCUAAAUAGAAACUGCCAGAGCAUCCCAAGGACUACAGAGAUCAAAAAAAAGGAACAUGCAAGUGAGUUGGUAUGAAGUGAGGGGGCAAAUCUACUCCGGUUUGACAAAGGCUGGUGUAUGUCCACUUUCCAUUGUUGAAGUGGUGAACCAAUUACUAAAUUAGACAGCAUAUUCCUGAGGAAGAAGUUCCAGUGUCGAGAUGAUUGUUUUCAUAAUGCGACAUCACGUUUUCUUUCUCCGUGAGCAGUGCGGCUCGGCCGUUAAUUGGAGAGAAAACAAUCAGAGACCUGCUGCUGCUGGAAUUUGUUUAAAGCAUGGGAAGAUGAGGAAAAGCUUGUGUGUCUGAGAGAGAGCAGCUGGUGUUAAGCUGUGUGGUGGAAGCAGUCAUGCUUGGGGACUGUAGCUCAGUAUAAUUGGCAAAACGAAGCCAUAGUCAUUCUUUUAGAUCAAACGCCAUACUUCCAACACACAAACAUGUUUCGGGUCUGACGCGUGUAGUAACAAGCCACAGUGUUUGGAGUUUUACUAAUAGAAAUGAUUUGUCCUUGCAUUCCCCCCUUUCCUCUGAGGAUCUGUAAAGUGCUUUACAAACUCUAAACCUCACCAUACCCCUGGCAAGUCGCUGAGUAUUAUCCCCAGCUAGAUGGGGGCAAACCAGAAACACAGAAACAGAAUGACUUGGUCCAAGGUUGCCUAGUCAGGAAUAGGGCCCAGAAACUGCUGUUUGAACUACUAGACAGCACUGACUUGAUAAAAUGCUGUCCUGGUUAUGCCUAGGUAUUGCAACAGAUGUGAUAUAUGAAAAGGAAGUAUAUUGCCUUAUUCGAGACAAUGCAGAGGAGGAGGGUAAGGAUGACGUCAAGUAACAUGGAAGACUCCAGAAUGACAUGAAAGAAAAUGUCACCAUUUUGUCACUUCACCAAAGUAGGGAAUGUAGCCUUACAAUUGGAGACGUUGAGUGUGGUUUAGUGCCUGGGGCCCUGAACUGGGAAUCAGGCAACACGAGUUCCAUUCUCAGUCCUGCCACUGAUCUGCUGUGUGACCUUGGGCAAGUCACUUCUGUUUCCCCUCCUACCCUUUGUCUAUUUUGUCUGUAAGCUCUUCAAGACAGGGACUUUUUUUUCAUUGUGCAUAUGUACAGUGCCUAACACAACAGGGCCAUGAUCGUGGUUGGGGUCUUAAAGCACUAAGGUAAUAUUAAUAAACAAACUUGGCCACCGCUGCUUUAUGCAGGGUAAUAAGUGGGUAGAAUAAGUUACCAGAGCAACAACUGAAGCAAGGAAUAUAAAUUCAUGGAGACACUUACAGCUUUAAAAAAAACAAAAAAACACACACACAAUUAAUAAAUACAUGGAUGAUUCAUUAGAUCUCAUAAUUCAAGCUAACCAUCUCAAUACAAAUAUUUGGGUUAUAUAUUCCUACAGUUCUCAUGGACUAUAGAUCUUCAAAGCCUUUCUUAACCAUUUGAUAUUUCAAGAAUAUAAAACAGUCACAUACAUUGAUUUGUAUUGCGGUAGCACUUAGGAACCGCAUUGUGAACCAGGACUGCAACGUAUGACAGGCUGUACAAACAAAACAAAAAGACAGGUCCUGUUCC
Molecule: non-coding RNA, 2221 nt
Organism: Chrysemys picta bellii (western painted turtle)
Lineage: Eukaryota; Metazoa; Chordata; Testudines; Emydidae
Source: RefSeq, a predicted model, not a curated record